This 497-nucleotide ribosomal RNA is filed under the name uncultured bacterium. RNAcentral describes it as "partial 16S ribosomal RNA". It matches the Rfam family "Bacterial small subunit ribosomal RNA", at positions 28 to 507 of the family's 1533-position model. The record is from RNAcentral.
GAUGAACGCUGGCGGCGUGCCUAAUACAUGCAAGUCGAGCGAACAGACGAGGAGCUUGCUCCUCUGACGUUAGCGGCGGACGGGUGAGUAACACGUGGAUAACCUACCUAUAAGACUGGGAUAACUUCGGGAAACCGGAGCUAAUACCGGAUAAUAUAUUGAACCGCAUGGUUCAAUAGUGAAAGACGGUUUUGCUGUCACUUAUAGCUGGAUCCGCGCCGCAUUAGCUAGUUGGUAAGGUAACGGCUUACCAAGGCAACGAUGCGUAGCCGACCUGAGAGGAUGAUCGGCCACACUGGAACUGAGACACGGUCCAGACUCCUACGGGAGGCAGCAGUAGGGAAUCUUCCGCAAUGGGCGAAAGCCUGACGGAGCAACGCCGCGUGAGUGAUGAAGGUCUUCGGAUCGUAAAGCUCUGUUAUUAGGGAAGAACAAAUGUGUAAGUAACUAUGCACGUCUUGACGGUACCUAAUCAAAAAGCCACGGCUAACUACGUG